Molecule: ribosomal RNA, 460 nt
Filed under: uncultured bacterium
Lineage: Bacteria
Description: partial 16S ribosomal RNA
Rfam family: Bacterial small subunit ribosomal RNA
Source: RNAcentral
CCUACGGGUGGCAGCAGUGAGGAAUAUUGGUCAAUGGGCGGGAGCCUGAACCAGCCAAGCCGCGUGAGGGAAGAAGGUACAGCGUAUCGUAAACCUCUUUUGUCAGGGAACAAAGGCGGGGACUAGUCCCCGGAUGAGGGUACCUGAAGAAAAAGCAUCGGCUAACUCCGUGCCAGCAGCCGCGGUAAUACGUAGGUGGCAAGCGUUAUCCGGAUUUAUUGGGUGUAAAGGGCGUGUAGGCGGGAGCGCAAGUCAGAUGUGAAAACCCAAGGCUCAACCAUGGGACUGCUUUUGAAACUGUCAAACGAGAGGACGUGAGAGGGAAGAGGAAUUCCUAGUGGAGCGGUGAAAUGCGUAGAUAUUAGGAGGAACACCAGUGGCGAAGGCGUCUUACUGGACCGAAACUGACGUUGAGGCUCGAAAGCGUGGGGAGCAAACAGGAUUAGAUACCCGGGUAGUC